RNAcentral lists this small RNA (26 nucleotides) under Bombyx mori (domestic silkworm). RNAcentral describes it as "ovarian small RNA-4990". Lineage: Eukaryota; Metazoa; Arthropoda; Insecta; Lepidoptera; Bombycidae. The record is from RNAcentral.
GAAACGUCAAGACAUUUCCUGGAGCA